AUGCACGCUGGCGGCGUGCCUCAUCCCUGCCAGUCGCGCGAACAGACGAGGAGCUUGCUCCUCUGACGUUAGCGGCGGACGGGUGAGUAACACGUGGAUAACCUACCUAUAAGACUGGGAUAACUUCGGGAAACCGGAGCUAAUACCGGAUAAUAUAUUGAACCACAUGGUUCAAUAGUGAAAGACGGUUUUGCUGUCACUUAUAGAUGGAUCCGCGCCGCAUUAGCUAGUUGGUAAGGUAACGGCUUACCAAGGCAACGAUGCGUAGCCGACCUGAGAGGGUGAUCGGCCACACUGGAACUGAGACACGGUCCAGACUCCUACGGGAGGCAGCAGUAGGGAAUCUUCCGCAAUGGGCGAAAGCCUGACGGAGCAACGCCGCGUGAGUGAUGAAGGUCUUCGGAUCGUAAAACUCUGUUAUUAGGGAAGAACAAAUGUGUAAGUAACUAUGCACGUCUUGACGGUACCUAAUCAGAAAGCCACGGCUAACUACGUG
This 496-nucleotide ribosomal RNA is filed under the name uncultured bacterium. RNAcentral describes it as "partial 16S ribosomal RNA". It matches the Rfam family "Bacterial small subunit ribosomal RNA", at positions 29 to 507 of the family's 1533-position model. The record is from RNAcentral.